RNAcentral lists this ribosomal RNA (1553 nucleotides) under Salmonella enterica subsp. enterica serovar Newport. RNAcentral's name for it is "bacterial SSU rRNA". It matches the Rfam family "Bacterial small subunit ribosomal RNA". The record is from RNAcentral. Lineage: Bacteria; Pseudomonadati; Pseudomonadota; Gammaproteobacteria; Enterobacterales; Enterobacteriaceae.
UUAAAUUGAAGAGUUUGAUCAUGGCUCAGAUUGAACGCUGGCGGCAGGCCUAACACAUGCAAGUCGAACGGUAACAGGAAGCAGCUUGCUGCUUCGCUGACGAGUGGCGGACGGGUGAGUAAUGUCUGGGAAACUGCCUGAUGGAGGGGGAUAACUACUGGAAACGGUGGCUAAUACCGCAUAACGUCGCAAGACCAAAGAGGGGGACCUUCGGGCCUCUUGCCAUCAGAUGUGCCCAGAUGGGAUUAGCUAGUUGGUGAGGUAACGGCUCACCAAGGCGACGAUCCCUAGCUGGUCUGAGAGGAUGACCAGCCACACUGGAACUGAGACACGGUCCAGACUCCUACGGGAGGCAGCAGUGGGGAAUAUUGCACAAUGGGCGCAAGCCUGAUGCAGCCAUGCCGCGUGUAUGAAGAAGGCCUUCGGGUUGUAAAGUACUUUCAGCGGGGAGGAAGGUGUUGUGGUUAAUAACCACAGCAAUUGACGUUACCCGCAGAAGAAGCACCGGCUAACUCCGUGCCAGCAGCCGCGGUAAUACGGAGGGUGCAAGCGUUAAUCGGAAUUACUGGGCGUAAAGCGCACGCAGGCGGUCUGUCAAGUCGGAUGUGAAAUCCCCGGGCUCAACCUGGGAACUGCAUUCGAAACUGGCAGGCUUGAGUCUUGUAGAGGGGGGUAGAAUUCCAGGUGUAGCGGUGAAAUGCGUAGAGAUCUGGAGGAAUACCGGUGGCGAAGGCGGCCCCCUGGACAAAGACUGACGCUCAGGUGCGAAAGCGUGGGGAGCAAACAGGAUUAGAUACCCUGGUAGUCCACGCCGUAAACGAUGUCUACUUGGAGGUUGUGCCCUUGAGGCGUGGCUUCCGGAGCUAACGCGUUAAGUAGACCGCCUGGGGAGUACGGCCGCAAGGUUAAAACUCAAAUGAAUUGACGGGGGCCCGCACAAGCGGUGGAGCAUGUGGUUUAAUUCGAUGCAACGCGAAGAACCUUACCUGGUCUUGACAUCCACAGAACUUUCCAGAGAUGGAUUGGUGCCUUCGGGAACUGUGAGACAGGUGCUGCAUGGCUGUCGUCAGCUCGUGUUGUGAAAUGUUGGGUUAAGUCCCGCAACGAGCGCAACCCUUAUCCUUUGUUGCCAGCGGUUAGGCCGGGAACUCAAAGGAGACUGCCAGUGAUAAACUGGAGGAAGGUGGGAUGACGUCAAGUCAUCAUGGCCCUUACGACCAGGGCUACACACGUGCUACAAUGGCGCAUACAAAGAGAAGCGACCUCGCGAGAGCAAGCGGACCUCAUAAAGUGCGUCGUAGUCCGGAUUGGAGUCUGCAACUCGACUCCAUGAAGUCGGAAUCGCUAGUAAUCGUGGAUCAGAAUGCCACGGUGAAUACGUUCCCGGGCCUUGUACACACCGCCCGUCACACCAUGGGAGUGGGUUGCAAAAGAAGUAGGUAGCUUAACCUUCGGGAGGGCGCUUACCACUUUGUGAUUCAUGACUGGGGUGAAGUCGUAACAAGGUAACCGUAGGGGAACCUGCGGUUGGAUCACCUCCUUACCUUAAAGAA